AUGGCCACAUCAUGUUGAAACAUUGAUUCCUAUAUGAUCACCAAACUUAAGCAACAAUGAGCCUGGUUAGUAUGUAGAUGGGUGACCACUUGGAAAUACCAGGUGCUGUAAG
This is a non-coding RNA of Acanthosepion pharaonis, 112 nucleotides long. NCBI's taxonomy places the organism in Eukaryota, Metazoa, Mollusca, Cephalopoda, Sepiida, Sepiidae. The record is from the annotation of a GenBank genome assembly.